AACGAACGCUGGCGGCAGGCCUAACACAUGCAAGUCGAACGCUCCGCAAGGGGAGUGGCAGACGGGUGAGUAACACGUGGGAAUCUUCCUAUCGGUACGGAAUAGCUCAGGGAAACUUGGGGUAAUACCGCAUACGCCCUUCGGGGGAAAGAUUUAUCGCCGAUAGAUGAGCCCGCGUCUGAUUAGCUAGUUGGUGAGGUAAUGGCUCACCAAGGCGACGAUCAGUAGCUGGUUUGAGAGAAUGACCAGCCACACUGGGACUGAGACACGGCCCAGACUCCUACGGGAGGCAGCAGUGGGGAAUCUUGGACAAUGGGCGCAAGCCUGAUCCAGCCAUGCCGCGUGAGUGACGAAGGUCUUCGGAUUGUAAAGCUCUUUUGCCAGGGACGAUAAUGACGGUACCUGGAGAAUAAGCCCCGGCUAACUUCGUGCCAGCCGCCGCGGUAA
Molecule: ribosomal RNA, 447 nt
Filed under: uncultured bacterium
Lineage: Bacteria
Description: partial 16S ribosomal RNA
Rfam family: Bacterial small subunit ribosomal RNA
Source: RNAcentral